RNAcentral lists this ribosomal RNA (292 nucleotides) under uncultured bacterium. RNAcentral describes it as "partial 16S ribosomal RNA". It matches the Rfam family "Bacterial small subunit ribosomal RNA", at positions 505 to 796 of the family's 1533-position model. The record is from RNAcentral.
GUGCCAGCAGCCGCGGUAAUACAGAGGUCCCAAGCGUUGUUCGGAUUCACUGGGCGUAAAGGGUGCGUAGGUGGCAGGGUAAGUUUGAUGUGAAAUCUCCGAGCUCAACUCGGAAACUGCAUUGAAUACUAUCCUGCUUGAGGAUUGGAGGGGAGACUGGAAUUCUCGGUGUAGCAGUGAAAUGCGUAGAUAUCGAGAGGAACACCAGUGGCGAAGGCGAGUCUCUAGACAACUCCUGACACUGAGGCACGAAAGCUAGGGGAGCAAACAGGAUUAGAUACCCUGGUAGUCC